RNAcentral lists this ribosomal RNA (460 nucleotides) under uncultured bacterium. RNAcentral's name for it is "partial 16S ribosomal RNA". It matches the Rfam family "Bacterial small subunit ribosomal RNA", at positions 338 to 795 of the family's 1533-position model. The record is from RNAcentral.
CCUACGGGAGGCAGCAGUGAGGAAUAUUGGUCAAUGGCCGUAAGGCUGAACCAGCCAAGUAGCGUGAGGGAAGACUGCCCUAUGGGUUGUAAACCUCUUUUAUGCGGGGAUAAAGGUGUCCACGUGUGGAUGUUUGCAGGUACCGCAUGAAUAAGGACCGGCUAAUUCCGUGCCAGCAGCCGCGGUAAUACGGAAGGUCCGGGCGUUAUCCGGAUUUAUUGGGUUUAAAGGGAGCGUAGGCCGGUCUUUAAGCGUGCCGUGAAAUUUUGUGGCUCAACCAUGAGAGUGCGGCGCGAACUGGAGCCGUUGAGUGCGCGGGAGGCAGGCGGAAUUCGUGGUGUAGCGGUGAAAUGCUUAGAUAUCACGAAGAACCCCGAUUGCGAAGGCAGCAUGCCGCCGCGUAACUGACGCUGAAGCUCGAAAGCGCGGGUAUCGAACAGGAUUAGAGACCCGUGUAGUC